GAUGAACGCUGGCGGCGUGCCUAAUACAUGCAAGUCGAGCGAACAGACGAGGAGCUUGCUCCUCUGACGUUAGCGGCGGACGGGUGAGUAACACGUGGAUAACCUACCUAUAAGACUGGGAUAACUUCGGGAAACCGGAGCUAAUACCGUAUAACAUGUUGAACCGCAUGGUUCAACAGUGAAAGACGGUCUUGCUGUCACUUAUAGAUGGAUCCGCGCCGCAUUAGCUAGUUGGUAAGGUAACGGCUUACCAAGGCAACGAUGCGUAGCCGACCUGAGAGGGUGAUCGGCCACACUGGAACUGAGACACGGUCCAGACUCCUACGGGAGGCAGCAGUAGGGAAUCUUCCGCAAUGGGCGAAAGCCUGACGGAGCAACACCGCGUGAGUGAAGAAGGUCUUCGGAUCGUAAAACUCUGUUAUUAGGGAAGAACAAAUGUGUAAGUAACUAUGCACGUCUUGACGGUACCUAAUCAGAAAGCCACGGCUAACUACGUG
This 497-nucleotide ribosomal RNA is filed under the name uncultured bacterium. RNAcentral's name for it is "partial 16S ribosomal RNA". It matches the Rfam family "Bacterial small subunit ribosomal RNA", at positions 28 to 507 of the family's 1533-position model. The record is from RNAcentral.